AACGAACGCUGGCGGCAUGCCUAACACAUGCAAGUCGAACGAGACCUUCGGGUCUAGUGGCGCACGGGUGCGUAACGCGUGGGAAUCUGCCCUUGGGUUCGGAAUAACAGUUGGAAACGACUGCUAAUACCGGAUGAUGACGUAAGUCCAAAGAUUUAUCGCCCAAGGAUGAGCCCGCGUAGGAUUAGCUAGUUGGUGAGGUAAAGGCUCACCAAGGCGACGAUCCUUAGCUGGUCUGAGAGGAUGAUCAGCCACACUGGGACUGAGACACGGCCCAGACUCCUACGGGAGGCAGCAGUGGGGAAUAUUGGACAAUGGGCGAAAGCCUGAUCCAGCAAUGCCGCGUGAGUGAUGAAGGCCUUAGGGUUGUAAAGCUCUUUUACCCGGGAUGAUAAUGACAGUACCGGGAGAAUAAGCUCCGGCUAACUCCGUGCCAGCAGCCGCGGUAA
This 449-nucleotide ribosomal RNA is filed under the name uncultured bacterium. RNAcentral's name for it is "bacterial SSU rRNA". It matches the Rfam family "Bacterial small subunit ribosomal RNA", at positions 29 to 523 of the family's 1533-position model. The record is from RNAcentral.